Molecule: transfer RNA, 72 nt
Filed under: Microgenomates group bacterium
Lineage: Bacteria
Description: tRNA-Arg
Rfam family: tRNA
About the family: Transfer RNA (tRNA) molecules are approximately 80 nucleotides in length. Their secondary structure includes four short double-helical elements and three loops (D, anti-codon, and T loops). Further hydrogen bonds mediate the characteristic L-shaped molecular structure. tRNAs have two regions of fundamental functional importance: the anti-codon, which is responsible for specific mRNA codon recognition, and the 3' end, to which the tRNAs corresponding amino acid is attached (by aminoacyl-tRNA synthetases). tRNAs cope with the degeneracy of the genetic code in two manners: having more than one tRNA (with a specific anti-codon) for a particular amino acid; and 'wobble' base-pairing, i.e. permitting non-standard base-pairing at the 3rd anti-codon position.
Source: RNAcentral
GUCCUCAUAGUUCAACGGAUAGAACAAGGGUUUCCUAAACCCUAAAUGAAGGUUCAAUUCCUUCUGGGGACA